UACGGAGGGUGCGAGCGUUGUCCGGAAUCAUUGGGCGUAAAGAGCGUGUAGGCGGCCCGAUAAGUCCGCUGUGAAAGUCCAGGGCUCAACCCUGGAAUGCCGGUGGAUACUGUCGGGCUCGAAUCCGGAAGAGGUGAGUGGAAUUCCUGGUGUAGCGGUGAAAUGCGCAGAUAUCAGGAGGAACACCAAUGGCGAAGGCAGCUCACUGGGACGGUAUUGACGCUGAGACGCGAAAGCGUGGGGAGCAAACAGG
This 253-nucleotide ribosomal RNA is filed under the name uncultured bacterium. Its description in RNAcentral is "partial 16S ribosomal RNA". It matches the Rfam family "Bacterial small subunit ribosomal RNA", at positions 524 to 776 of the family's 1533-position model. The record is from RNAcentral.